GAACUUAAGCAUAUCAAUAAGCGGAGGAAAAGAAACUAACAAGGAUUCCCCUAGUAACGGCGAGUGAACCGGGAAGAGCUCAAAUUUGUAAUCUGGCGUGCUCCGUGCGUCCGAGUUGUAAUCUACAGAAGCGUUUUCUGUGCCGGACUGUGUCCAAGUCCCUUGGAACAGGGUAUCAAAGAGGGUGACAAUCCCGUGCUUGACACAACGACCGGUGCUUUGUGAUACGUUUUCUACGAGUCGAGUUGUUUGGGAAUGCAGCUCAAAAUGGGUGGUAAAUUCCAUCUAAAGCUAAAUAUUGGCGAGAGACCGAUAGUGAACAAGUACCGUGAGGGAAAGAUGAAAAGCACUUUGGAAAGAGAGUUAAACAGUACGUGAAAUUGUUGAAAGGGAAACGAUUGAAGUCAGUCGUGUCUAUUGGAUUCAGCCGGUUCUGCCGGUCUACUUCCUUUGGACGGGUCAACAUCAGUUAAAGUCGGUGGAAAAGGGCUGGAGGAAGGUAGCUCUCACGAGUGUUAUAGCCUCCUGUCGCAUACACUGGCCUUGACUGAGGAAUGCAGCUCGCCGCAAGGCAGGGGUUCGCCCACUUACGAGCUUAGGAUGUUGACAUAAUGGCUUUAAAC
Molecule: ribosomal RNA, 623 nt
Filed under: Sirobasidium magnum
Lineage: Eukaryota; Fungi; Basidiomycota; Tremellomycetes; Tremellales; Sirobasidiaceae
Description: LSU rRNA
Rfam family: Eukaryotic large subunit ribosomal RNA
Source: RNAcentral